GGGCGCAGCCUGAUCCAGCCAUGCCGCGUGCGGGAAGAAGGCCUUCGGGUUGUAAACCGCUUUUGUCAGGGAAGAAACGCUCUGGGCUAAUACCCCAGAGUAAUGACGGUACCUGAAGAAUAAGCACCGGCUAACUACGUGCCAGCAGCCGCGGUAAUACGUAGGGUGCAAGCGUUAAUCGGAAUUACUGGGCGUAAAGCGUGCGCAGGCGGUAAUGCAAGACAGAUGUGAAAUCCCCGGGCUUAACCUGGGAACUGCAUUUGUGACUGCAUUGCUGGAGUUUGGCAGAGGGA
RNAcentral lists this ribosomal RNA (293 nucleotides) under uncultured bacterium. Its description in RNAcentral is "partial 16S ribosomal RNA". It matches the Rfam family "Bacterial small subunit ribosomal RNA", at positions 373 to 659 of the family's 1533-position model. The record is from RNAcentral.